AACAAUGUAAUCUUUUGAAACUCUCAUUUAUCCAAAUUCUUAUUUAUUUCAUAUGUUUGUCAUAUACUUGUUUAUCAAUUGUUGGGUUCUCAUCUAUGCUUAAAGCUUUUAUUGUUUAACUCAUUCAGUAAAAGUGGUUUGUCUUUAUUGAUAUGGGGACGUGCAGUAAUGUCAUGAACUGGUGAGAAAUUCCUUGAUUAUGUUAAUACCGCCUAGGGAUAGGGGUAGGAUGAUCAAUUGUAUUUUGCUUCCGUUCGUAUUGCAUUAUUAGUUACUAGGGGAGGCUAGGGAUAGCAAGCCGGUAAUUAAUAAUAGGCUCUUUUCACCAAGGGUUUGGGUUAAGGGUGGGCUAGAAAGUUUUGCAUGGCAAUUGGAUAAAUAAGUGAAGUAAAUAAGAAAAGUAGAUAUAUGAGAGUGGAUAAGAUGAAAUUGUAAACCCCCCAACAACACCAUUCAUCCAUAGUUUUUCCUUGGAAAUUGAAUCAUUUUCAUUUGCAUGUUUAGUUUUUGUUCUUUGCAUUCAACACUUACAUUUAAUUCUUUUCUCAAGUCUUAAGUGAUUAGGUUACACGAAAGAUUAGGCAUUUGAGUCCUUUGGGAAGAACGAUAUUGGGUUUACCAAUUAUAUUACUUGAUAACGAUCUGGUACACUUGCCAGGGGCUUAACAACCUUCAGAAGAUGGAAGAAGACAUUCCUUUUAUACUUUGCAAGAUGGAGAGAAUAUCCCCCCUCAUUCUUUGAUUCUAUGGAAC
RNAcentral lists this long non-coding RNA (753 nucleotides) under Vigna radiata. Its description in RNAcentral is "long non-coding RNA (VRAD_LNC008632)". Lineage: Eukaryota; Viridiplantae; Streptophyta; Magnoliopsida; Fabales; Fabaceae. The record is from RNAcentral.